Molecule: ribosomal RNA, 468 nt
Filed under: uncultured bacterium
Lineage: Bacteria
Description: partial 16S ribosomal RNA
Rfam family: Bacterial small subunit ribosomal RNA
Source: RNAcentral
GACGAACGCUGGCGGCGUGCUUAACACAUGCAAGUCGAACGGAAAGGCCCUGCUUUUGUGGGGUGCUCGAGUGGCGAACGGGUAAGUAACACGUGAGUAACCUGCCCUUGACUUUGGGAUAACUUCAGGAAACUGGGGCUAAUACCGGAUAGGAGCUCCUGCUGCAUGGUGGGGGUUGGAAAGUUUCGGCGGUUGGGGAUGGACUCGCGGCUUAUCAGCUUGUUGGUGGGGUAGUGGCUUACCAAGGCUUUGACGGGUAGCCGGCCUGAGAGGGUGACCGGCCACAUUGGGACUGAGAUACGGCCCAGACUCCUACGGGAGGCAGCAGUGGGGAAUAUUGCACAAUGGGCGGAAGCCUGAUGCAGCAACGCCGCGUGCGGGAUGACGGCCUUCGGGUUGUAAACCGCUUUCGCCUGUGACGAAGCGUGAGUGACGGUAAUGGGUAAAGAAGCACCGGCGAACUACGUG